UUGGAUCUACACUCAUUGGUCCAGUGGCGA
This 30-nucleotide non-coding RNA is filed under the name Mus musculus (house mouse). Lineage: Eukaryota; Metazoa; Chordata; Mammalia; Rodentia; Muridae. The record is from RNAcentral.